ACAGGGGUAGGAUAUAUUUUGUAAAUGGCCAAUGGAACGGAAUGUGAACGUUGGCAGAACCUUAACGGGCGAUUUAUAUCCGCAUUCACCAAA
This 93-nucleotide non-coding RNA is filed under the name Ligilactobacillus aviarius. Its description in RNAcentral is "Lactobacillus aviarius THF-I sequence". It matches the Rfam family "THF (Tetrahydrofolate) riboswitch aptamer". Rfam says of the family: THF riboswitch presents a pseudoknot that joins P1-P2 and the loop of P3 and two THF binding. RNAcentral also lists the same sequence under 1 other name. The record is from RNAcentral. Lineage: Bacteria; Bacillati; Bacillota; Bacilli; Lactobacillales; Lactobacillaceae.